RNAcentral lists this ribosomal RNA (301 nucleotides) under uncultured bacterium. RNAcentral describes it as "partial 16S ribosomal RNA". It matches the Rfam family "Bacterial small subunit ribosomal RNA", at positions 509 to 807 of the family's 1533-position model. The record is from RNAcentral.
CAGUAGCCGCGGGAAUACAGAGGGUGCGAGCGUUAAUCGGAUUUACUGGGCGUAAAGCGUGCGUAGGCGGCUUCUUAAGUCGGAUGUGAAAUCCCUGAGCUUAACUUAGGAAUUGCAUUCGAUACUGGGAAGCUAGAGUAUGGGAGAGGAUGGUAGAAUUCCAGGUGUAGCGGUGAAAUGCGUAGAGAUCUGGAGGAAUACCGAUGGCGAAGGCAGCCAUCUGGCCUAAUACUAACGCUGAGGUACGAAAGCAUGGGGAGCAAACAGGAUUAGAUACCCCCGUAGUCCCUGUCUCUUAUAC